Molecule: long non-coding RNA, 2693 nt
Organism: Salvia miltiorrhiza (redroot sage)
Lineage: Eukaryota; Viridiplantae; Streptophyta; Magnoliopsida; Lamiales; Lamiaceae
Exons: 3
Source: RefSeq, a predicted model, not a curated record
AAAGAAUAGUGAUGUGCUGGCAUUUUUGUAAUUUUCUGUUAUUUGGAGGUUGAUUUUUGAAACUAUUGAUUUAUCUCACCUCUUUCUCCUCAUAGCCGAUCAGAUUUCUUUUUCUCCCUUUCUACUUUCUAUGGUUUCUCUCUUUUGAAAUUCUACUCCAAGAAAUCAAAUCUUCUUCAAAUGAUCGGUGCAAAGUCAGAUCAAAAUCAACCCACUUGAGAAAGCCAAUACAGCAACAAAACCAAAGAAAAUCAUGUCUUGACUAGAGUUUGAGUGAGCUGCGGCUAGGUUUCUGGUGUUGAUGGUGCUGAUCGGAGGUGGCUUUCUUGGCUUCUGGUUAUCGGAGAAGGAUGGUAGACCAUGGGGAACGACGAGUCUUGGCUGAGUUAGAGCGAGUUGGGGCUGGGUUAAUUGGGUUGUUGUCUGCAAUUGACUGCUGAUUUACGGGUCGAGGCGAGGAUUAUGGGUCGACGAUUUGGAACGACGGUGAGGUGUAGUCGGACGGCUGAUUUUCAGAUUAUUCGCGAGAGAUUAGGAGAAAGGGAAGAAGAAGAGGGAAGAAUAGCGGUUAGGAUUUACUUACUGUUGCGAACAUGAAGUGCAGAGAGAGAUGAUCGAAAGUGUGAGUGGAGGAGAUGAGAAAAUGGAGAGAGCUAAGGGACAAGGGCAGUACAUUGCGAGGGAUUUUGACUCUCUAUUUUUAAUUGAUAAUAAUGGAAUAUAAUUGAUCUGGAUCAUGAUAUAGUGCAUGAAAUAUAGUUGGGCUUGAUGAUUAGUAUUGAGCAUUAAUCAUUUAUCUCUUGUCGCCUUGAGCUACAUAAAUUUGGUUAUAUAAACCUAACUAUAAAUAUAUAGCCCAAAAUUAUCAUGCAAAAUAUUCAAACAAACCACAUCUCAAAUCAAAAUCCUACCUUUUCAAUCACAAUGAGAGCCAUCACCCAUUUUAUAUGGUAGUAUUAUAUAUAUUUUGGGGAUAGUUUAGUUUAGUUUAGUUUUCUUACUUAUCUGAUGUGGGUCAGUUACUUGCUCUGCUCUCUUCUUUAUGUUUUGAGCAUAUACAAAUCUUCUUUAAUAUAAUAUUUCCUCUUAUAUAUAUAGAUUAUUCAAUCACAGCUUCUUAUUAAUUUGUUCUAAAAUCCAAUGAGAUUACAUGAAAUAUGCUCAAAUUUAUGAAUAUAACUGGGGAAUACAUAGCUACCUAUUGGGUUUGACCUAUUAAUUUUAAAUUGUUUAUUAGACACGUGCUCGUUCAGUGACAUCCACUUCUUCAAAAGUUGCAUAUUCUUCCACGGGAGUAGUGAGCACUAUCUUGCAUUUGAGUUGGGGUUCAUAUUAUUAAGUAGCAUUUUUUGAUACAUUAUUAAGUAGUAUUUUUUGAUAAAUACUUGACAUCCUUUUCUUUGUUGUGUAAUGAUGUUUAUUGGUUGAUAAAAAUUGACCCUGUUGCGCUAGCGUUUCGCGUUCUUUCUAUUUGAUCUGAGGCGGUGCUUCUGAAAAUGGCCAAGUAUUGUUUGAGUUCUUGGCAAAAUCUUUUACUUUUUGAUGUUGGUUGUGAGUAAAUUGUCUUGUAUUUUUCACUAGAUCGGAUUUGUUACUCUAGGAUUAGGACUUGGGUAAUUGCCUCUAGCCUUUAGGUUUUUUAAGGAUUUGUUACUUUGUGUUAUACAAAGAUUGUUAUUUUCGAUUUCUGGUUUUUGAAGAUUGCCCUCACGGUUCGCUUGUCUUUGCUCACAUCGAAUUUAUUUGCUGUAACACUUUCAUCGGUUUAUUGCACCUUCGGUAAUUCACUACCCUACUUUGUUCAAAAUAGUAUUUUUGUGCUUUAUUUUCUUUUCAUAUUUUGUUAUAUCACUGACUAAAUUACUGAAUUCUCAAUCGUGACUUUGGUCACGUUUUUUAGAUAUCUUGUUGUGGCAAAAAGAAGAUGAGUGCUUUCAAAGAAGGUUACCGAUGAGCUUUCUUUAUUUUUUUCCUUUUUUUGGGCUCAUUUGUAUUGGUUGCACACUUACCUUUAGUUUAUCGGUUCUAUGUCUUUGCUUUAGAGUAUGGUGCAUGGUAAUUUUAAUUCUUCUAUAAUACAUGUUGUGAGCUGUGUUAUCACACCUGCCAUGUAUUUCUCAAUUCUUUGUUGGUUAUAUUUGUUUUGGUGUGAAUUUAAUAUUAAAUCUCUAUUCAAAUGUCGUACACGGCCAUGUGACAACUUCAAAACGUUUACUUUUUAGUUUACCUCAUCCAUGUGUUAUGGCUAUGCCAAAUAUUUUUGGCCGUGAGUUUUCACCUGCUCUGACUACUCGGCCGAGAAGCAUGAGAUGUGUAUAAUUAUAUUUGUUGUGUGUAUAGAUUUGCACAAUUCAAUUUAUCAUUAUGUGAGAUUGUUUAGUAAGUGUUGUUGCUAUUAAUAUUUUUAUUAACUGUGGUUUGUAAUUUUUAAAUAAGACAGUGAUAAAAAGAAAGAUGUGUGUUGUUGUUGUUGACACUGGUGGGUGUUCCAAUCUCAUAGGUGGGCUGCAUGAUCUAGGUUGCCGUUACAUGAAUGUGCUGGCACUUGUUGCGAAAUAUGGACUUCGAGGUAUUUUUCUCACAAUGACUUGUAAUCCAAAGUGAGUGGAAAUUCAAAGUUGAUCAUUUCCUAUUGAAAACAGUCAUAAUAGAGUUGAUUAGCAUGCAAGAGUUUUCAGAGCAAAAAUUGAGUA